Long non-coding RNA from Alligator mississippiensis (American alligator), 1665 nucleotides. RefSeq lists it as uncharacterized. The record is from RefSeq and is a predicted model, not a curated record. Lineage: Eukaryota; Metazoa; Chordata; Crocodylia; Alligatoridae. The transcript has 2 exons.
GAUUGCACCUGCCGGCGGUCAGCUGAUUGAAAGGGGCAGGGCCUGGCUCCCUUAUAAACCCUAGGGGCUGAGGCGAGAGGCAGUUCACUGCUGGCAGCCCAGGAAGAAGGAGCGCUCUGCCAUGGAAGAGAGGAGAAGUCUAACUGAAGGAGCAGUGGCUGACACAGCUGCAGAAUGGAGGUUUUACUGGGGAGAAAGAAAGAAUGAGUUAGACCAUGGUGAAAGUGCAGUUGCUGAACUAUUUGACAGAAGGCACAUCCAUCUACAAGUAUUUGCAUAUUGCUGUUGAUACAGUGACAAUGUGGGGAUGGGAGGCAUCACCCAGGAGGCUUCCAAGAAACCUGGGGAAGAUAAGCAUAACAAUACAUGGAGCAUCCAAAGACAACAAGGUGGUGUCCUGAAAUCAGAAGAGAGUCUAAACAGAGAUGGGUAGAGAGUCGUUUUGGGGACCAAGGUUAUAUGAACUGGAGAGAACUGCUGAGUUUAACUUUGCAGAGUUCAGGGCUGUAGUGGGGACAGAAAGACUGCUUAACCAUUUGUGGAAUGACAGAGAAACUCUGGGCCUUUGUCUCAAUAAAUGUUUAUCAAAGAGGAGCUUUGUUUUGCUGGUUAGAACUUUGGCUUACACUUUUUUCACCCUAUCAAGAAACAAAGUCCCUUUCUCAGGAGGUGAACUGGAAGGAAGACUAUGGAAAACCACGUAGGGCCAGAAACCAAAGCCUAAGGUCUCAGAUUUGGAAUGAGAGCUCCCCUUCCCACUCUGGGAGCUGGCACUGGUCAGGCUUCAGGGGGGCAUUCAGACAGACCAGACAAAUUUGAGAAGUUCCCAAGUAAAUGCCCCCCUGGGGAAAUCCAUGAUGUGUACCUUAAAUCUAAAAACGGAGAAAAAAUAGUCCAUGAUAUUGCCACAGAUUUCAAAAGGAGUAAGACAAGUCUAAAAUUUCCUUUCUAAGAUGGUACAUAUUGUCAAGAAAAAUACAGAUUUCUAUUCAUAUUCUUUGGAGCAUAUAAUAAAAAUUUCUAUCAUAAUUCCUUAUAAAGAUACAUCUUAUUCUUUUGAUGGAUACUUUUGGUUUCCAAGAUUAUUGUCUGUCUCACUUAUCAUUAAGAAAGGGGUAAUUUGCUUUAUCAGUACCAUCUGAUUAUGGUCUUCACAGUGUUAUUACCAUGAACAAAAGGUAAUCAACUUAUGCUAAGCUGUCUAAAUCAAUAUAUGCAUUUUUGUAUAACAUACAUAUGAGCCUUUGAGCUGUCCUCUCAACAUAUUAAUAUUUCCAGAGUUUUAUCAGACUAUUCCAUCACAUACUCUUACUAAAACACUGCUGGGAAUGGAAAUGUCUGUUGAGAACUUAUCUUGCAGCUUUAAUCAUAACUAUGGACAAGUUCAGUCUGCUCAGAGAAGAAAUGGUGAAGGGCCCCUAUCACAAGCCCAGUAAAAACUGAUAAGUAUUGCCCCAUGCCUGCCAAGGAUGAGCACACUCAUGAUCCAAAACCAUAGCACACAGAAAGAUUGCCUUGUUCUACCUUACUUUAAAUCCUUAAUAAAUUCAGAUGUUAAUUUUCUAGCUCAUUAAUAUUAGUCUUAUUUUAGACACCCAACAUUAAUGUAAAACUGAAAAUUUUAAACUAAACCACUUUGUUCAUGUCAGAAGUAUAACUAGUAAG